AGAGUUUGAUCCUGGCUCAGGAUAACGCUGGCGGCGUGCCUAACCCAUGCAAGUCGGUACGAUCCCGCAAGGGAGAGUGGCGGAAGGGUGAGUAACACGUAGAAAUCUACCUCGCCGGAGGGAACAACCCCUCGAAAGAGAGGCUAAUACCCAAAAGGAUCCGCAAGGAUCAGAGUCCGCAAGGGCCUGGCGAGAGGAGUCUGCGGCCCAUCAGCUAGUUGGUGGGGUAACGGCCUACCAAGGCUACGACGGGUAGGGGGUCUGAGAGGAUGUCCCCCCACACUGGAACUGAAACACGGUCCAGACGCCUACGGGUGGCAGCAGGGAGGAAUAUUGGACAAUGGGGGAAACCCCGAUCCAGCAACGCCGCGUGAGGGAUGAAGGCCUUCGGGUUGUAAACCUCUUUUCAGGGAGACGAGCAAGGACGGCAUCCCUGGAAUAAGUCACGGCUAACUACGUGCCAGCAGCCGCGGUAAUACGUAGGUGGCGAGCGUUAUCCGGAUUUACUGGGCGUAA
This 516-nucleotide ribosomal RNA is filed under the name uncultured bacterium. Its description in RNAcentral is "bacterial SSU rRNA". It matches the Rfam family "Bacterial small subunit ribosomal RNA", at positions 8 to 563 of the family's 1533-position model. The record is from RNAcentral.